Molecule: long non-coding RNA, 980 nt
Organism: Gossypium arboreum
Lineage: Eukaryota; Viridiplantae; Streptophyta; Magnoliopsida; Malvales; Malvaceae
Exons: 2
Source: RefSeq, a predicted model, not a curated record
AUUGAGUUCUUUGCUUAUGAUGCUAAAUAUACUUUUGGAUGUUAAUUUGAAACACAAUGGAAAAUUGGGACUUAUUCUAAAUUAGUCAAAACAAUUAAAUUAACUGACUCAAUUAAUGAUUUUAACUUUGACACAGUUGAAUAAAGAGAAGUUUUCUGAAUUAAAAGUGAUAUAGAAAUGUGAUCUAAUUAAAUAAAUUUUCCAUCCCAAAGUCAUACAACUGUAUGUCAUUUUUUCCCCGUCCAAUGAAUGUAUCAUACAGACAAUAGUGUUGGGUAUUGUUAGGAGCCUUGGGAACAUAGCAAGUCGUCAAUUAAAGCAGAUUGGUGGUACAAAUGGUUAAGUUCUGUUAUCUCAGUACUCUUUUAACUGCUGCUUUGUCUUUGCUCUUCAGCUUGUGAAUCUUUCAGUGGCUUUUAUGAUCUGGGCUGAGAGCAGUGCCCACCUUGUGUUUGAUGGAAUUUCUCCUUGCAUUUGGUAUAGGGAUUUGUGAUAGCAAUGGUCAGGUUUGUUUUCACAAUGUUGAAAGUAGUUUAUCUGUGAUCAGUAAUUUUACUUUGCUUGAAAAUGAUAAUGGAAAAGAAAAGAAUUUUAGUAGGGUAAUGUAAAAUCUUAAUGGACCCGUGUUUCCCUGAAUCCUCGCGGAUCUUCGUUGGACAAAGAGGGGACAAUCUAACUUGUGGGUGGGCCAAUAGCUAGCGAUCGUUUGUUGUUAUAUUUGGUUCUGUGUGAUUCCUGUUUCAGAUAGUCCACUAGUAUUGAUGAUAGGAAGAGAGAGGGAAACUGAACUUGCUGAGGAGAAAAACAGCAGCAAGUACAAUUUGAUAAGCGAUCCGGGAUAUUGAUGUUCGAAGUCGGAAUAGAAAUUAAAACCGAAUUAAUAUGUGAUUGUAAAACUCUGCCAAUGCAGUGAUUAUGUAAUGUGAUAAUCUAGUUUAUGGUCUAAGAUGAAGAAUCAACAGUUUCAUGUUUUGGCUGAA